UACGGAGGAUCCAAGCGUUAUCCGGAAUUAUUGGGUUUAAAGGGUCCGUAGGUGGUUUGCUAAGUCAGAGGUGAAAUCCUACCGCUUAACGGUAGCACUGCCUUUGAUACUGGCAAACUUGAGUUAUUGUGAAGUAGUUAGAAUGUGUAGUGUAGCGGUGAAAUGCAUAGAUAUUACACAGAAUACCGAUUGCGAAGGCAGAUUACUAACAAUAUACUGACACUGAGGGACGAAAGCGUGGGUAGCGAACAGG
This 253-nucleotide ribosomal RNA is filed under the name uncultured bacterium. Its description in RNAcentral is "partial 16S ribosomal RNA". It matches the Rfam family "Bacterial small subunit ribosomal RNA", at positions 524 to 776 of the family's 1533-position model. The record is from RNAcentral.